Molecule: long non-coding RNA, 1006 nt
Organism: Phascolarctos cinereus (koala)
Lineage: Eukaryota; Metazoa; Chordata; Mammalia; Diprotodontia; Phascolarctidae
Source: RefSeq, a predicted model, not a curated record
CCGGAAGUGAAUUCCUCUGCUGGUCAGACCCAGAUCGCCUGUCUCUAAAGGAUGGCCAAAAAGCAGGGAAGAGUGUGCCUGAAGCUGGCCUGUGGCAACUCUGCACCGAGCAACAGGGACCACCCAGGACAGGAAUUCCAGACUUACAAAGGAAGGAAGAGUCAGUGAAGAAUGUAUACACCGGGGUGGCAUUUCCUAUUUCUACUGCCAGCACCCUAUGAGAAACUCUCAAAAACAUCCACAUGGCUUAACUACAAUAACCUUCAUAAAAUGGACAAGUCAUUUAAUGAGAUUCCAGCAAAGAACAAAUUCAAGAGAAUACUAAUAAUGCUUCAAGUACAAUUCAACAAUAUGAAAAUGGCAACACUGGCCCCUGUCCAGCUCUUAGUAUGGGUUCUUGGUCAGCCCCAUCACAAAGCAACCACAAAGACAAUUUAAAACCGAGUCACCUGAAUAUCUUCCAAAAGAUCGAGAAUAUUACUAGACAUAUGGAUUUAUACACAAUACCAUUAUCAAUGAACCUCACCCUAAAUGUACAUUGUGCCUUGAGAUCUUACUAAUGAUGGAAGUCAUCUCAAUUAACAAGACGCUUAGAAAACAAGCAUUUGUUGUCAAAAAAUGUCACCUAUGAAAACUGAUAGUGGUAGACUUUAAAAACAUGAAAACAGAAUUUUAAAAUGUUACAAAAGAAGAAUAUCAUUGGGUUUUGAACCUGCUUGCUAAAAAUUUAAAAAUGCAACUUUCUGAUUCGUUGCAAAAGCAAACACAAGAUGAUGAAAAUUUACUUGUUAAAUCACAACAAAAAUUUUUGCAUAAUUGGUGGACAGGACUGAAAAAUGGAUAUCAUCAUUUAUUCACUGCAGCCAAUAACGCACUUCUCCCAUUUGGGUCGACGCGUCUUUGUGAGGUUUCUUUUUCAGACACAACAGCCAUCAAAAUCAGGUUUAAAAAUAAACAAUCUAUGGGCAGCUAGGUGGCAGUGGAUAGAGCGCUGGCCCUUUAGUCA